Long non-coding RNA from Trachemys scripta elegans, 808 nucleotides. RefSeq lists it as uncharacterized. The transcript is spliced from 3 exons. Lineage: Eukaryota; Metazoa; Chordata; Testudines; Emydidae. The record is from RefSeq and is a predicted model, not a curated record.
CAGUCCCUGUGAAUGAGAUACUCCAUCAGUCUCUAGUGUAUGGCACCCUGGAAGAGGAUCAGAACAGCUGUGCAAUUUACAAAAUGUGGUGAGCGUAGGUUGUUUCAAACCCUGUGAACCAUCUAUCAGCCAUGCCUUGAGCUGAAAACCCCUGAGGAUGGGGUGAUAGAUUUGACUGGCAUCCUGAGAGAAGGGGAUAGUCUGCAGAGUGAUUGGUUAACAAACAAUGAGCUGAGUGAGGUAAGAAAACCAUGUUUGUAUUGGCCACAUCAGAACUACAAGAAUAAUUUGGUCUUUAUCUUUCUUUAUCUUGAACAGCACCUUGGAUAUCAAGGGAGUCGGGGGAAAUGCAUACAGAAGGCCUGGACUCCAACAAAGGAGAAAGGCAUCUCCCAGGGAGUGGUGACUCAAACUGCAUCUCGAGUAGAACUGGGAGAAUUUCUGAGGGCAUACACUGUGAUGUUUUGUAUGCCUAGAAGGGAUGUAAAUUCCCAGAGAGCGUAAGAUGGCUGUAGAGUCUUUUAAAGUAUGAAGAGAUUCAUCUAUUUUUUCUGCAAAACACUUCAAUCCAUCAAAAGGAAGGUCCUCAGCUGGAUUUCAGACUUCCCUCAGAAAACCCGAGAGCUAAAGCCAGAAAACUCUCUUCAUGACUAGCACUGGAGAUAGAAUGAGCGGCUUUAUCAGUGGCAUUCAGAGAGGGCUGCAGAGAUGUUUUGUGUGCCAUUGGCUCUCUGCAAUGAUCUCCUGGAAUUGCUCGCUCUGUUCUGUCAGAAUAUGUUCAAUAAAGGCAUUCAACUUUGAAUAGUUA